This 1217-nucleotide long non-coding RNA is filed under the name Sarcophilus harrisii (Tasmanian devil). RNAcentral describes it as "lncRNA (ENSSHAG00000028626.1)". Lineage: Eukaryota; Metazoa; Chordata; Mammalia; Dasyuromorphia; Dasyuridae. The record is from RNAcentral.
CAAAAAUCAUUAUAAAAAUAUUUCCUAUAAAAGAGUAUUAUGUAUAUAUAUAUUCAAAUAUUCCAUUUAAAGUAUAUUUAAAACUCCAUAGCAAUACUAAAAUUUAAGGAAUUAACAUAAUAAAGGUUAGUUAUUUAAUUAUUACUCAGGCAGUUAGCAAUCAUUUAUUAAACACUUACUAUGUGCCAGACACUGCUAAGUUCUGGUGUUAUAAAAGAAAAGACUCCCUGUCCUCAAAAAGCAUACAUUCUAAUGAAGACGACAAUAGAUAUAUUAAACUAGGUACAUAAAAAAAUAUAGCCAGUGGAAGGUAAUCUCAAAAGUUCUAGUAGGUCGGGGUAGGGGAAGGAGAAGUCAUGAAAUAAGGUGGGAUUUGAACUUAAUCUUGAAGGAAACUAAGAGAUGGAAGUAAAAAGGGAAAACAAUCCAAGCACAAAGCCAGUGCAAAAAUACAGAGAUGUCACGUGCAUAAAACAGUAAAUGGAUAAUGUAGCUGGAUCAUGGAGUGUGCAGGAAGGUAAGUUUUGAAGAGCAUCAAAUGCCAAAGAAAGGACCACAGGGAGAUCUUAAAUGCUAUAGGGAACUACUAGGAUUUACUGGACAGGCAGAUGACAUGGGUAGAACUGUGCUUUAGAAAAAUUAUUUGAUAUCAUGGAUUAGAAUGGGAAGAGACUUGAGACAGGGAGAACAAUUAGAAAGUUUUGUGUUAGUCCACUUGAGAAGGGAUGAGAAUCUGAACUAGGGUGAUGGCUCUAUGAGCAAAGAAAAGAAAAUGUAUAGAAUGUAUUAUGAAUGUAGAAACAAUAUCUGAUGAUAUUUUCCAUAUGUGAAAUAAGUGGGAGUAAAGGGUCAAGGUUUACACUGAAGUUAAAAACAUGUAUGACUGGGAAGAAGGUGAUAUGCUCCACAGCAAUAGGAAUGUUAAAAAAAGAGAAAGAUGGAAGGAAAGAUGAUGACUUCUCUCUUAGAAGUAUGAAAUGCCAACAGGACUUCCAAUAUGAGAUGGGCAAAAGGAAGUUGAAAGAAAGUUAUUUAUUUGGGGGAGCAUCAAUAUGUAUACUCAAGUCUUCUUAUAAGAGGGCAGGUGAAAAACUGUGCAUGAAAGCAGUUAUACAUACCAAGGAUUAUAACUUUAUUUCCAACAAUGACUUAUAAGGAAACUAGAUGUAGGAAAAUAAUUCUUCAAUUAUUGCCUAAAUCUGACAUCUGACUGAAUA